AGGGUUUGAUUAUGGCUCAGAUUGAACGCUGGCGGCAGGCCUAACACAUGCAAGUCGAGCGGUAGAGAGGUGCUUGCACCUCUUGAGAGCGGCGGACGGGUGAGUAAUGCCUAGGAAUCUGCCUGGUAGUGGGGGACAACGUUUCGAAAGGAACGCUAAUACCGCAUACGUCCUACGGGAGAAAGCAGGGGACCUUCGGGCCUUGCGCUAUCAGAUGAGCCUAGGUCGGAUUAGCUAGUUGGUGAGGUAAUGGCUCACCAAGGCGACGAUCCGUAACUGGUCUGAGAGGAUGAUCAGUCACACUGGAACUGAGACACGGUCCAGACUCCUACGGGAGGCAGCAGUGGGGAAUAUUGGACAAUGGGCGAAAGCCUGAUCCAGCCAUGCCGCGUGUGUGAAGAAGGUCUUCGGAUUGUAAAGCACUUUAAGUUGGGAGGAAGGGCAUUAACCUAAUACGUUAGUGUUUUGACGUUACCGACAGAAUAAGCACCGGCUAACUCUGUGCCAGCAGCCGCGGUAAUACAGAGGGUGCAAGCGUUAAUCGGAAUUACUGGGCGUAAAGCGCGCGUAGGUGGUUUGUUAAGUUGGAUGUGAAAGCCCCGGGCUCAACCUGGGAACUGCAUUCAAAACUGACAAGCUAGAGUAUGGUAGAGGGUGGUGGAAUUUCCUGUGUAGCGGUGAAAUGCGUAGAUAUAGGAAGGAACACCAGUGGCGAAGGCGACCACCUGGACUGAUACUGACACUGAGGUGCGAAAGCGUGGGGAGCAAACAGGAUUAGAUACCCUGGUAGUCCACGCCGUAAACGAUGUCAACUAGCCGUUGGGAGCCUUGAGCUCUUAGUGGCGCAGCUAACGCAUUAAGUUGACCGCCUGGGGAGUACGGCCGCAAGGUUAAAACUCAAAUGAAUUGACGGGGGCCCGCACAAGCGGUGGAGCAUGUGGUUUAAUUC
This 949-nucleotide ribosomal RNA is filed under the name uncultured Pseudomonas sp. RNAcentral describes it as "bacterial SSU rRNA". It matches the Rfam family "Bacterial small subunit ribosomal RNA", at positions 8 to 952 of the family's 1533-position model. Lineage: Bacteria; Pseudomonadati; Pseudomonadota; Gammaproteobacteria; Pseudomonadales; Pseudomonadaceae. The record is from RNAcentral.